Molecule: non-coding RNA, 21 nt
Filed under: Caenorhabditis elegans
Lineage: Eukaryota; Metazoa; Nematoda; Chromadorea; Rhabditida; Rhabditidae
Source: RNAcentral
UUGUACCGGACCUUUUGAUUC